RNAcentral lists this ribosomal RNA (1086 nucleotides) under Liorhyssus sp. WCW-2003. Its description in RNAcentral is "SSU rRNA". It matches the Rfam family "Eukaryotic small subunit ribosomal RNA", at positions 404 to 1412 of the family's 1831-position model. Lineage: Eukaryota; Metazoa; Arthropoda; Insecta; Hemiptera; Rhopalidae. The record is from RNAcentral.
CGGCUACCACAUCCAAGGAAGGCAGCAGGCACGCAAAUUACCCACUCCCGGCACGGGGAGGUAGUGACAAAAAAUAACGAUACGGGACUCAUCCGAGGCCCCGUAAUCGGAAUGAGAACACCCUAAAUCCUUUAACGAGGAUCUAUUGGAGGGCAAGUCUGGUGCCAGCAGCCGCGGUAAUUCCAGCUCCAAUAGCGAAAAAGCUCGUAGUUGGUUCUGCGUGCCACGCUGUCGGUUCACCGCCUGCCGGUGCAACUGGCAUGCCGUGGCAUGUCCUGUCGGUGGCGGAUGGGCUCGCGGGUCACCCUAUGCGGCAUACCAACGUGUAGGUCGUCGUCCUGCGAUGUUCUGUUCGCCGGCUCAAUCCUACCGCGGUGCUCUUUACCGAGUGUCGAGGUAGGCCGACACUGUUUACUUUGAACAAAUUAGAGUGCUUAAAGCAGGCUCUUAAAUCAGCCUGAAUAGUGGUGCAUGGAAUAAUGGAACAGGACCUUGGUUCUAUUUUGUUGGUUUUCGGAAUCCAAGGUAAUGAUCAAUAAGGACAGGCGGGGGCAUUCGUAUUGCGGCGUUAGACUUGGCAAAUGCUUUCGCGGUGAAAUUCUUGGAUCGUCGCAAGACGCACUAGAGCGAAAGCAUUUGCCAAGUAUGUCUUAAUUGAUCAAGAACGAAAGUUAGAGGUUCGAAGGCGAUCAGAUACCGCCCUAGUUCUAACCAUAAACGAUGCCAGCCAGUGAUCCGCCGAUGUUCCUCCGAUGACUCGGCGGGGAGCUUUCCCCGGGAAACCAAAGCUUUUGGGUUCCGGGGGAAGUAUGGUUGCAAAGCUGAAACUUAAAGGAAUUGACGGAAGGGCACCACCAGGAGUGGAGCCUGCGGCUUAAUUUGACUCAACACGGGAAACCUCACCAGGCCCGGACAUUGGAAGGAUUGACAGAUCGAUAGCUCUUUCUCGAUUCAGUGGGUAGUGGUGCAUGGCCGUUCUUAGUUGGUGGACUGAUUUGUCUGGUUAAUUCCGAUAACGAACGAGACUCUAACCUAUUAACUAGGCGUUUCCGGUAUACAAAUCUACCGGCGAGAUUUAUUCUUCUU